UUAUGCUGUGCUUUUUUUUUUUUUUAUUUUUUUUUAUUGAUUGAUUUUUAUUGAAGUAAUCAGAAUCUAUUGAUGAAAACUGAUGUUGUUUUAUGUUGUGCUAUAAAAAUCAAACUUAAGUAAAGCCCGGAUGGUAGUUCCUGAAUUGUGUUGUGUAGGUUAAAUUAUUUUUUAGUUCAACUCAUGCAUUUAAAUCUGUAAAAAAAAGGAUCUAGUAUUUUUGUGAUAUUUAAUAUUGUUGACACUAGCGUAGUUAGUG
Non-coding RNA from Biomphalaria pfeifferi, 259 nucleotides. The record is from the annotation of a GenBank genome assembly. Lineage: Eukaryota; Metazoa; Mollusca; Gastropoda; Planorbidae.